GAUGAACGCUAGCGGCAGGCUUAAUACAUGCAAGUCGUGGGGCAGCAUGGGGUAGCAAUACCCUGAUGGCGACCGGCAAACGGGUGCGGAACACGUACGCAACCUUCCUUUAACUGGAGAAUAGCCCCUCGAAAGAGGGAUUAAUACUCCGUAAUAUCCCGAUAUGGCAUCAUAAUGGGAUUAUAGCUUCUGCGGUUAGAGAUGGGCGUGCGCCUGANAGGUUAGUGGCGGGGUAAUGGCCCACCAAGCCUGCGAUCAGUAACUGGUGUGAGAGCACGACCAGUCACACGGGCACUGAGACAC
This 303-nucleotide ribosomal RNA is filed under the name uncultured bacterium. RNAcentral's name for it is "bacterial SSU rRNA". It matches the Rfam family "Bacterial small subunit ribosomal RNA", at positions 28 to 327 of the family's 1533-position model. The record is from RNAcentral.